GCGUGGGUGAAGAAGGCCUUCGGGUCGUAAAGCCCUGUCAGGUGGGAAGAACGGCCUCUUAUUCAAUAGGUAGGAGGUUUGACGGUACCACCGAAGGAAGCACCGGCUAACUCCGUGCCAGCAGCCGCGGUAAGACGGAGGGUGCUAGCGUUAUUCGGAAUUAUUGGGCGUAAAGAGCGUGUAGGCGGCCGGUUAAGUCAGGUGUGAAAGCCCGGGGCUCAACCCCGGAAGUGCACUUGAAACUGGUCGGCUUGAGUUCGGGAGAGGGAAGCGGAAUUCCUGGUGUAGAGGUGAAAUUCGU
This 301-nucleotide ribosomal RNA is filed under the name uncultured bacterium. Its description in RNAcentral is "bacterial SSU rRNA". It matches the Rfam family "Bacterial small subunit ribosomal RNA", at positions 399 to 691 of the family's 1533-position model. The record is from RNAcentral.